AAAGAUUUGGUCCUAAUCUUACUAUUAAUUAUGAUUAUAUUUACACAUGCAAGUAUCUGCACCCCGGUGAAAAUGCCCUAAAUUUACUAAUAAUAAACUAAGGAGCUGAUAUCAGAUACGCCCAUUACAUCUUGCUAAGCCACACCACAAGGGGAUCCAGCAGUGAUAAACAUUGAAAAAUAAGCGACAGCUUGAACCAGUAAUAAUCUAAAGAGUUGGUUAAUCUCGUGCCAGCCACCGCGGUUAUACGAGAAACCCAAAUUAAUUAACAACGGCUCAAAGAGCGGUUAAAUGAAAAUUUUUUAUACAAUAGUUUAAAAAAUUAACUAAGCCGUUAUACGCAAUAGUUAAAUCUAAAAUCAACAACGAAAGUAAUACUAAUAAAUUAAAAAUAUUGAAGCCGCGAAAGCUAUGACACAAACUGGGAUUAGAUACCCCACUAUGCCUAGCCAUAAACUUUGAUCUUUCCGCCAGAGUACUACGAGCAAUAGCUUAAAACUCAAAGGACUUGGCGGUGCUCUACACCCACCUAGAGGAGCCUGUUCUAUAAUUGAUAACCCCCAAUAAACCUCACCACCCAUUGCAAAACAGCCUAUAUACCGCCGCCGUCAGCUUACCCUUUAAGGGAAAACAAGUAAGCAAAAUGAUAAACAUAAAAACGUCAGGUCAAGGUGUAGCACAUGGGGUGGGAAGAAAUGGGCUACAUUUUCUUUUAGAAAAAACGAAAAACCAAAUGAAAAAAAGUUGGAAGGAGGAUUUAGCAGUAAAAAGAAAUAAGAGUGUUCUUUUUAAAUUUGGCUAUAGAGCGCGCACACACCGCCCGUCACCCUCUUCAACAUCUAUAUUUAAGUAAUUAACUAACCUAAUAAAACAAAGAAGAGGAAAGUCGUAACAUGGUAAGUUUACCGGAAGGUGAACUUGGAU
RNAcentral lists this non-coding RNA (924 nucleotides) under Ambystoma mexicanum (axolotl). Lineage: Eukaryota; Metazoa; Chordata; Amphibia; Caudata; Ambystomatidae. The record is from RNAcentral.